Molecule: ribosomal RNA, 301 nt
Filed under: uncultured bacterium
Lineage: Bacteria
Description: partial 16S ribosomal RNA
Rfam family: Bacterial small subunit ribosomal RNA
Source: RNAcentral
CAGUAGCCGCGGGAAUACGAAGGGGGCUAGCGUUGUUCGGAAUUACUGGGCGUAAAGCGCACGUAGGCGGAUAUUUAAGUCAGGGGUGAAAUCCCAGAGCUCAACUCUGGAACUGCCUUUGAUACUGGGUAUCUUGAGUAUGGAAGAGGUGAGUGGAAUUCCGAGUGUAGAGGUGAAAUUCGCAGAUAUUCGGAGGAACACCGGUGGCGAAGGCGGCUCACUGGUCCAUUACUGACGCUGAGGUGCGAAAGCGUGGGGAGCAAACAGGAUUAGAUACCCCCGUAGUCCCUGUCUCUUAUAC